GGGAACUGCCCAAGGUUCAUGGAUUUGUCCUUUGUCGAAGGGGUGCGGGUGGAAGAGGUCAAAGCGGCGCCCUCCAACCCUUGUUUUUUCUUUUGUACUGGAGAAAACGUGUUUACAUGGAGCACUGAGAGCGGACCAAGGCCAUCCCAACUGCUGUGUUGUAAGCUCUUAGGAGAGACGAGAGUAUCCUUGCCCCUGUGGGGCAAUGCCCCGGCUGAGCCUUGGCCUCUCUGCUAUCUAAAGGCACUCGUUAGAGCCUGGGAUCCCCGUUGCACCAGAGAACCACUUGUUUCCUCCGAAUGAAGCAGCGCCUCUGCUGGCUGUUCCUCUGCUCGGGAUUUCCCUGGCUGUGUACACAGACCUCGACCUGUUCUGUAGGCUGUAGGGGCAGCGCUUCUGUGGCUGCACGGCUGUGAGCCGCCGCCUCCAGCAGCCCCUCCUGUAUCACUGCGGUGUUGUUCUACAAACCCAUGUUGGCACAACCGCCCGGUUCUGGCAGCAGGAGCACAGCACUCGGUUCGGGCUCGCUCUGAAGGCCUCCCGAUGCAUCUUCCUUGAUUAUUUUUUUUGGCACUGUUAAACGUGGUGGUGGAGCACUGAGUGGAUUUGAUGGGCACAGAUCCCACCCUUGGCUGCUUGGGUGUGGGGUGGGGGCUCAGCUGUUGUGUGGGAGCUGAGGGGGGCAGGGGGCGAGUGGGGCUGCGUGCGGGGCUGCGUGCCUUCCUGCUGCCCCUACGGAGCAGGGAAAAGAGGAAAGCCUUCAUCUGUAUUGUCUGUGAGCAGGGGGCAGCCCGGAGUCUGUGUGACAGUCUGUGACCGUGUGGCGUUGUUAGAUAUACAGCAUCGUGUGGUGGGGAGGGGGGAAAGAAGAAGAAGAAAAAAAAAGAGGAACAGAAACAAGUAUUGAGUUGUAACUUUUCCAUGUAAAGCGUUCUAACUGGCAUUAAACUAGUUGUGAAUUGACA
Long non-coding RNA from Lagopus leucura (white-tailed ptarmigan), 965 nucleotides. RefSeq lists it as uncharacterized. The transcript is spliced from 2 exons. The record is from RefSeq and is a predicted model, not a curated record. Lineage: Eukaryota; Metazoa; Chordata; Aves; Galliformes; Phasianidae.